GAUGAAGAACAUAGCGAAAUGCGAUACUUGGUGUGAAUUGCAGAAUCCCGUGAACCAUCGAGUCUUUGAACGCAAGUUGCGCCCGAAGCCGUCAGGCCGAGGGCACGCCUGCCUGGGCGUCACACGCCGUUGCCCCCCCGCGCCCCGCACCCAACUCUUUGGGAGCGACCGCGGGGCGGGCUGAUGAUGGCCUCCCGUGCGCUCCGCCGCGCGGUUGGCCCAAAUACCUAGUCCCCGGCGACGUGCGCCACGACGAUCGGUGGUUGAGAGACCUCUGUCGCAAGUCGUGCGCGCCCGUCGCGUCACGCGGGCUCGCAUAGCGCCUCGCGCCGCACCCGGUGCGGAGCUUUCAACGCGACCCCAGGUCAGGCGGGGUUACCCGCUGAAUUUAAGCAUAUCAAUAAGCGGAGGA
This 412-nucleotide unclassified non-coding RNA is filed under the name soil metagenome. RNAcentral's name for it is "partial contains 5.8S ribosomal RNA, internal transcribed spacer 2, and large subunit ribosomal RNA". The stretch from base 1 to 122 matches the Rfam family "5.8S ribosomal RNA", at positions 35 to 154 of the family's 154-position model. The record is from RNAcentral.